RNAcentral lists this ribosomal RNA (425 nucleotides) under uncultured bacterium. RNAcentral describes it as "partial 16S ribosomal RNA". It matches the Rfam family "Bacterial small subunit ribosomal RNA", at positions 354 to 796 of the family's 1533-position model. The record is from RNAcentral.
GUGGGGAAUCUUGCGCAAUGGGCGAAAGCCUGACGCAGCCAUGCCGCGUGAAUGAUGAAGGUCUUAGGAUUGUAAAAUUCUUUCACCGGGGACGAUAAUGACGGUACCCGGAGAAGAAGCCCCGGCUAACUUCGUGCCAGCAGCCGCGGUAAUACGAAGGGGGCUAGCGUUGCUCGGAAUUACUGGGCGUAAAGGGCGCGUAGGCGGACAGUUUAGUCAGAGGUGAAAGCCCAGGGCUCAACCUUGGAAUUGCCUUUGAUACUGGCUGUCUUGAGUACGGGAGAGGUGAGUGGAACUCCGAGUGUAGAGGUGAAAUGCGUAGAUAUUCGGAAGAACACCAGUGGCGAAGGCGACUCACUGGCCCAAUACUGACGCUGAGGCGCGAAAGCGUGGGGAGCAAACAGGAUUAGAUACCCUGGUAGUCC